AAUAACCAAAUAUAACACUGGGACUAAGGGUCAAAUUGGUAAUUUUUCUUACAUCUCCCCCCCCAGGGGCCCAGGU
Molecule: non-coding RNA, 76 nt
Organism: Hordeum vulgare subsp. vulgare (domesticated barley)
Lineage: Eukaryota; Viridiplantae; Streptophyta; Magnoliopsida; Poales; Poaceae
Source: Rfam